UCAGAGGACGGAGCACCUCAUGCCGGGCUCUCCAAAGUGAGUCUCUGUGGGAUGCUGUCAGCCGUCCCCCGCACCUGGAGCCAGAGUGCCUGAGCACCGUGGAACUGCCCCAGAGCCCGCGAGAGAAGACGCGCGACACCAGGUUGGUCCCAUGUGAAGCCAGGCCCGCUGUGGCCCGGUCUGGGUCUCAGGCCUCUGGCCCUGAAAACUCCAGUAUUGGUCAUGGCGUCUCCUAGGGCUUAGCUCAGAGCCUGGCACGUAGCAGGCGCUGUCUAAAUGCUGGCUCAGAUGAUUAGUGAUGACUAUUACUUCUGCAGGGCUUUCCAGCCAGUUUACAAAGCCAAGCUUAUCUCCGCUGUGCAGAUGAGGAAGCACAUAGCCUGUAAGAGGCCUUGAACCCAGACCCCACCAGGCUGGCCGAGCAGGGACAUUGUCAGUCUUGAAAGACUGAUGCUGAGGGGCUCCCACCGAAGUGGCCUUGCUCAUCUAACAUCGGCUGGGUCCUUUGAGGAAUCUGCCUUGUUCCUCCUGAGCACAUGGGUCUUGGUUGGUCUUUCCCACCCUCUGGUUUUCCCAGAUGGUCUCGAGUUAUUUGUGACUCCUGUCAGCUGGUGGAUCAGAGAACACAGUGCGGGGGGGAGGCAGGCUUUUUGUUUGUUUGUUUGAUCUUCACAGAAACUUUCUGUCCGCGUGCAGGAGCAGAGAUGCCGCUCAGCAUGGGAAUGCUGGAGCUCAUCAACUUCAGUGCCAUCCCCAUGGUCCCCCUUGACGAUGACCUGGCGACUUCGUCCAAGGAGAAGCGCAUACAGCAUGAAGAGCUGAAGAUGCGAGUGAAACAGAGCCCUCCCUUGUGCCUCAUGGGCUCCAUGGACCAGCUGAAUAGAAAGAUCUCCCAGAUAGACCUGAAGACCAGACUGUACAAGACCAGCAUUUACAACACCAUCCUGGUCAUCGAGAAACUGGAGGCAGAGAAGAAACUGAGAGAGCAGCAGCGCAUCUUGGGAGAAAAAGGCAAAGCCCCUUUUAACAACCUAGUGCUGGGGUAG
RNAcentral lists this long non-coding RNA (1046 nucleotides) under Phascolarctos cinereus (koala). Its description in RNAcentral is "lncRNA (ENSPCIG00000032671.1)". Lineage: Eukaryota; Metazoa; Chordata; Mammalia; Diprotodontia; Phascolarctidae. The record is from RNAcentral.